AAAGACGGUCUUGCUGUCACUUAUAGAUGGAUCCGCGCUGCAUUAGCUAGUUGGUAAGGUAACGGCUUACCAAGGCAACGAUGCAUAGCCGACCUGAGAGGGUGAUCGGCCACACUGGAACUGAGACACGGUCCAGACUCCUACGGGAGGCAGCAGUAGGGAAUCUUCCGCAAUGGGCGAAAGCCUGACGGAGCAACGCCGCGUGAGUGAUGAAGGUCUUCGGAUCGUAAAACUCUGUUAUUAGGGAAGAACAUAUGUGUAAGUAACUGUGCACAUCUUGACGGUACCUAAUCAGAAAGCCACGGCUAACUACGUGCCAGCAGCCGCGGUAAUACGUAGGUGGCAAGCGUUAUCCGGAAUUAUUGGGCGUAAAGCGCGCGUAGGCGGUUUUUUAAGUCUGAUGUGAAAGCCCACGGCUCAACCGUGGAGGGUCAUUGGAAACUGGAAAACUUGAGUGCAGAAGAGGAAAGUGGAAUUCCAUGUGUAGCGGUGAAAUGCGCAGAGAUAUGGAGGAACACCAGUGGCGAAGGCGACUUUCUGGUCUGUAACUGACGCUGAUGUGCGAAAGCGUGGGGAUCAAACAGGAUUAGAUACCCUGGUAGUCCACGCCGUAAACGAUGAGUGCUAAGUGUUAGGGGGUUUCCGCCCCUUAGUGCUGCAGCUAACGCAUUAAGCACUCCGCCUGGGGAGUACGACCGCAAGGUUGAAACUCAAAGGAAUUGACGGGGACCCGCACAAGCGGUGGAGCAUGUGGUUUAAUUCGAAGCAACGCGAAGAACCUUACCAAAUCUUGACAUCCUUUGACAACUCUAGAGAUAGAGCCUUCCCCUUCGGGGGACAAAGUGACAGGUGGUGCAUGGUUGUCGUCAGCUCGUGUCGUGAGAUGUUGGGUUAAGUCCCGAAACGAGCGCAACCCUUAAGCUUAGUUGCCAUCAUUAAGUUGGGCACUCUAAGUUGACUGCCGGUGACAAACCGGAGGAAGGUGGGGAUGACGUCAAAUCAUCAUGCCCCUUAUGAUUUGGGCUACACACGUGCUACAAUGGACAAUACAAAGGGCAGCGAAACCGCGAGGUCAAGCAAAUCCCAUAAAGUUGUUCUCAGUUCGGAUUGUAGUCUGCAACUCGACUACAUGAAGCUGGAAUCGCUAGUAAUCGUAGAUCAGCAUGCUACGGUGAAUACGUUCCCGGGUCUUGUACACACCGCCCGUCACACCACGAGAGUUUGUAACACCCGAAGCCGGUGGAGUAACCUUUUAGGAGCUAGCCGUCGAAGGUGGGACAAAUGAUUGGGGUGAAGUCGUAACAAGGUAGCCGUAUCGGAAGGUGCGGCUGGAUCACCU
This 1339-nucleotide ribosomal RNA is filed under the name Staphylococcus aureus. RNAcentral's name for it is "bacterial SSU rRNA". It matches the Rfam family "Bacterial small subunit ribosomal RNA", at positions 202 to 1528 of the family's 1533-position model. Lineage: Bacteria; Bacillati; Bacillota; Bacilli; Caryophanales; Staphylococcaceae. The record is from RNAcentral.